Molecule: long non-coding RNA, 9447 nt
Organism: Equus caballus (horse)
Lineage: Eukaryota; Metazoa; Chordata; Mammalia; Perissodactyla; Equidae
Source: Ensembl
GUAAAUUAAACCCAGUGUAUGCAUAGGAAAGGAAAUAGUAAAGAUCAGAAGAAAGAUCAAUGAAAUAUAAAACAGAAAAAUAGAAAAAAAUAAAUGAAACCAAAAGCUAGUUCUUUGAGAAGAUCAAUAAAAUUGAUAAACCUCUAGUCAGACUCUUAAGGAAAAAAAAAGAUACAGGGCACAAAUUACUAAUACCAAGAAUGAGAGAAGUGGCUUGACUGCAGAUUAUGCUGAUUUUAAUAAGGUUAAUGAGAGAAUAUUAUGAACAACUUAGAUGUGAAUAAAUUCAGCAACUUAGGUGAAAUAGACAAAUUCAUUUUGAAAGACGCAAACUACAAAAGCUUACUCAAGAAGAAAUAGAUAACUUGAAUAACUCUAUAUCUGACAAAGAAAUUGAAUUUGUAGUUAAAAAUCUUCCUGUGAAGAAAAUGGGAGGCCCAAAUGGCAUCACUUGGAAAUUCUAAACUUUUAACGAAAAAAAAGCCAAUUCUCACAAACUCUUCCAAAAGAUUGAAGAGAAGGGAAUACUUUCCAACUCAUUUCAUGAGGCCAACUUUACUCUAAUACUAGAAAACAGACAGACAUUACGAUAAAAGAAAAUUACAGACCAAUAUCCCUCAUGAACGUAGAUGCAAACAUUCUAAAUAAAAGGGAACUCAUAAUCCAUUACUAAAAGCAAAACCCUAAUGACUCUCUUAAUUCUGUUGAAGUUUUUUGUAGAAAGUCACAUGCAUUUAUAUUUCUAAUAAAGUAUAUACUAUUGAUAUACAUUUUAGUGUUUGGUGUUCCUAAGAAACUGAUUCGGUGUGAGGAAGCGCCAGAACAGAAAGAAGCCACAGAGAGAAAUGGCUUUGCCUUCCAGGGGACUUUAUAACCGCUUUCACUAUGUGAAGUGGUCUAUAUACCACAUUUUGGGAAAUACUGGACUAGAGAAGAUGUCAUAGUGUCCUGUGUUGUUUAGAAUGCUGCUUUUUUUGUGCAUUUAUGUUUCAAGUUAUAGCACCUCCCUUCCAGGACAAAAAAGCUACUAGGAGUAAGUAUGGGGGAAAAAGCAUAUUUACAGGAAGAAACAUUUUGGAUUGUAUUUUAACUCAUAUUUUGUGCCAAUAUGGAUAUGAAGCAGUUAUGAGGAUGUUCCUUUUUGCCUAUGUGAUAAAGUUGUCCUCUUCUAGUCCAUACCAUUUCUCUGGAGCUUCACCUGUAGCUCUGGGUAAAAGGAGACUAUAGCCUAAAGGCUCCCAAGUUAGGCACUCUUUCUCUCAUUUUCCUGUUAAAAUAAGACCUUUCACUUUAGUUUCCUUCUGUUACUGCUCAGGGGGUAAGCUUGUGAGGGCAGGCCCGUGUCUGUCUGGUUUAUCACUGUGUCUGUAGCACCACACCUCCUCGGCACAGAGUAGGGGCUGAGUGAAUAUUUGUUGAACUAAUGAAUGAGUGAACGAGCAAGCAUAUUCAUACAAGGACUUGUCAGGUGAGCAGGUCAAAUAUUAUUGAGGGUGGAACUGAGGCAAGGGGAAGUUAUGAGGUAUCUUUAAUGUCAGAUGAUCAGGGACUGAAAUGGGACUUGUAAGUCUUUUGCCCUUUUAUAGUGUAGGUCCUUGAAAUAUGUUUGUGGAAUAAAUGAGUUAGUGAAAGAACAAUGUAUGUUGUUCUCUUAAACACACUCAUAUUUUAUUGGAUGAAAAGGGAAACUUUUAAAGAGAGAGAAACUGCCUUUGUGGCUUCAUGUUGUGAGGAACUAGGCCAGGUGGGAAUGAGGAGACAGAAUGGGCAGAUUUAAAGUGACUUAAGUAUCUUAGAAGUAACUGAACAUAUUGUCUAUUAGUAAGAGUAAUUUAAUGGUGGGAUGACAGGGAGUGCCUUAAACUAGCUCACAAACCAGUUUUUGUCUUUGUCAUAAAUAUGUGAUUAAGAAGAAACUUGUUUCAUGCUGGAAAAUUCUUCUUGUGAGAUCUUUAUUUUGGUACACAAUGCACCAAAACAUUUGUUUCUAUUUACCUUGAAAAAACCCCCUCCAGAGAUAGCAUGUGGGGAGCAGCCAUCUGUUCAGGAUUACACUUCUGAAUUGCUGUUUCUCUGAACCCGCCUGACUCUGUAUAUGUUCAUGUAACAUAUCAGGACUGUUUCCCCCCUUUAUCAAGUUCGUUUAUCAACACCGUCGAAAGGAUGUACUUAUAUUCUAGUGUGCAUUAGAACUGUUAAUUGGCUAUUGCAUAACAGGUUAAACUGGGAACCCUGGAGUCUCUGGAUUCAGUUGCUGAUUGUUUUUACUCUGCCAUCAGACCUCGGAACAAGUCAUUAUAUAUGUCUUACCUUUCCCCAAAAUAAAUAGCUUUAAAUGUUCAUGAAAUUAGGGGCAGCUCAGAUGCUGUGUAGCUGGUUAGGACUCUAGUAGCAGUGGGCUGAGGUACAGUAGAAGGGAAAAGAGAAGUAUGUAUAACAGUAAUCUUGAUUCUUAUGCCCACUACUCCCAUUGGACCCCUAAGACUCUGAUACUGCACAAGUGGAGAGAGACCCCGCUAUCGCCAGGUAAGCAUCUCUUCUGGGUGAAACUAUGCUGCCUUAACACUGAUAUAGACUUUAAAAAGGCUGUUUUCAUGUGCAUAAUCUCACAUCAACCUCAUUUCAAACACAGAGGGAAAUAGGGCAAAUUUUAUUACCCCAGUUUGUGUGUGUGUGUGAGGAAAAUAGGCCCUGAGCUAACAUCUGUUGCCAGUUUUCCUCUUUUCACUUGAGGAAGCUUGUCAUUAACAUCUGUGCCAAUCCUCUUCUAUUUUGUAUAUGGGAUGCAGCCACAGCAUGGCUUGAUAAUCGGUGUGUAAGUCCGUGCCCAGGAUCUGAACCCAUGAACCCUGGGCUGCCGAAGCGGGGCAUGCGAACUUAACUACUACGCCACCUGGCCAGCAUCUAUUACCCUAGUUUUACUGGUGACAAAAUGGAGGCUCUAAUUGUCUAGGUGAUUUGGUCAAAGUCACACAAUUAUUGGGUCAUAGAGCCAGGACCUGAGCUCAUACUUUCUGAUCCCCUUCCUAUUAUGCUAAUUCUUUGAUUUAUCUUGGAAAAGACAUAUAAGGAGUUAAAGGCAUGUUUCAUUUAUAGUUGGUGUGGUGUUAACUUCUUUGACUCCCUUGCAAAAUUUUAUUUGCCUUUAAGCAAGAUCCUUUAACUUAAGCAAAAACUACACCAAACAAAACCAUCCUUACAAUAUAUAGCAUACAUAUAAAGAACUAAAGGGCAACACUCUCAGCUAAAAGAAAACAUUUUGUGUUUCAUUACAGAGCAGUUUUACAGCCCAAAUAGAAGCAAUUGUGAACCAGCUAAGAGGUUUUUCCUGUUACCUUAUUUGAUGAAGUUUCUUUACUGAACCUCCAAGGUCACUCUCAUAUAAAGAAACAGAGUAACAUCUGGAUUUCAAAGAAAAUUAAUCACUUCUUAAAGCUGUCCAAUUACUCUGUUAGAAGGUAUUGUUGUUAAGAAAUUAAAAUGGAAAUACCAGUGCUUGUCUCCUGAGAUUUGGUUGGAGAACCUUCUGGAUUCUAUUCUGUAGUUUGGCUCCUCUGACCUUGGACACAGCUUUUUAACCUUUCUUAACUCAUCUAAAACGUGCCUCAUAGAGGUUUGUUUUGGGUUUAGAAAUGCUUUGACAUUUUUGGAUUAAAGGUGAAGUGGACAAAAAUGCUAUUCUAAGGAAGCUUGGAGGCUAAUGAAAUAUUUUUAUUAUUCUUUUCAACUUUCGUCUCUGGAAGGGCAAGGAGUGUUUUAUUCUUGGAUCAUUUACUUAUUCAGCAAACAUUUACUGAGUACCAUGUACUACACCAUGACCAGCACCCUCCUCUGCUCUCCUGGUGCGGUGCCAUCAGGCGAUGCUUCUGAAAACACGGCAAAGGACCUUUAUUUCCCUUAUGGAAUGUGAGUGCUUGGUGGCCCUAUAUAGGCAAGAGUGGAAUUUUCUGUCUCCCCCAUAUAUAACUUGUACUUUACAAUAUCCUGCCUUACUGCUAUUGAAUGUGUCACAAGCAUUUGCUAUUAGAAGGUAAGCUCCUUGAAGGAGGAAUCCAUGGCUUACUUUUCCAUUACUCUAUUCAGUACAAAAGAGUAGUGAGGAAUUCUUUACCAAGGAGUCCACGAUGGAUGCGUUUCGCAGCACUUGUGUACUCCCUGAAACUGUAAAACAUUAUUUUUGCAUGUACAGUUUUCUGUGAAGAAGGUCCAUCAUUUUCAUUAGAUUCUCAAAGGGGUAAGUGGCUCGUGGUUGACCUCUGUAGGUUAACCACUCUAAUGGGCUUUUGAUGACUACUUGAAUGGUAGAAACUAUAGAAAAACAGAUAUGACCUUGAUGUAUGAGACAGUGUUGUCAUGAUUAGAAGUCAUGCUUGGGGAUGGCUCUCAGUUCUACAACACUGGAGAUGUUAAAUUAACAGCUGGAUAACCCUUCAGUGAUAAUAAUGUAGGGAUGUUGAUCUACUCUCUUUGCUCUAUGAUUCUAUGAUAAUAUCAGUCUUCACUAGAGAAUACUUCUAAUUCUUCACGUACAUGUACCCUCUCAUUUCCGUUUUUGUGUGACUCAGUCUUUGGACUAUUUAUACACCUAAAGAAUCUUUUUGAUGGAUAACCAGAGGCCUACAAAUUAAUCCAUGAGAACCAUGGCCCUGAGGAUAUGUGAAAUACCGAAUAACAGGCAGGGAGCUUGGCAUGAACUCUAGAAAUAAAGAGAGGGUAGAAUGAUUUUUGAGUUGAGGAUAGAAGUAUCAGAAGAUAGGAGUUGACAAGCAGGUUGACACAGUUGCUAAUAGGUUAAACAGACUAGGAUUUAAUUGAGUGCUAAAUUGGGCUAGUUACCUUUAAAUUUAGGCCUCUGAGCAAUUUUGGUUUGUGCUGCAAUUUUGCUACUUUCAUUCAAAGAAAUUAGGACAAUGCAACUCCAGAGAUGAGUUGCAGAAAUGCAAAGUAGUAAAAACAUAUUCAUUUUCAAGUAUGAACAUAUACAGGUUUGUGCAUGAGUAUAUAAAUGUAUGCAACAACAUGCUCGUGCCUUGAUACCUGUGGAGAUGUGGAUCCAUCCACAUGAAUGCAUUACUUCACACAUAUACCAAAUGUAAGGAGGAUUAAAUACUUAUCUAAUAGAAAACUUUCACUUGCAGGGAAAUAGGAAAUAGAGCAUUUCAAAGCAGUCGAAUAUCCAAUGGAUGAGAAAAAUAUUUUAGGUAAUAUACUGAUGCCUCUUUCAGGGUUAAUGUCAUGAAACUUCACAGGGUGUAUAAGUAUCUGAAUAGAGACAGAACUCAAGCUGAUAGUAUCAUACCAAGUGAUAGUGUAGGUGAGAGAAGUCCUAAAGAUAUCCAUUAUAGUCUAAAGGAAACUGGCUAUAUUACAUGCUCCAGUUUUCCUUGGAGAAGUGUGUUUGUUAAAUUGUGAUCACCAACAUCUCCAGUCCCAGUUUUUUAGGUUGGACGUAGGGGGCCUUUAAGCAAGUGCUUCCUCAGAAUGCUUUCUGGUGAUCUUCUAAGCUGGCUGUUUUCCUCUUUAGCAUUCUGCAAAGUCUCACUUAGCAUCCUUUAGCUUGUGAAUUUUUGAUGAGUAUGGUACUGCUAUUUUUACAUAAGUUUUGUAAACUCCUUUGAGGAAUGCAGAGGUACAUGGAAAGAAGAAGAUUGUGGUGAGCUUCUUCCUUUAUUUAAUCCGUCCAUGCCCCAACCUCACAGAGACCAGUAUAAAGCUGUAGCUGUAAAAGCUAACUGAUUUGCCCAGUGUUUUUGUUUUGAAGGACAUCAACUAUUUUUAGCAACAAAGAAGUGUUAGGAAGGGGAGGAAGGCAUACCUCAGGACAGAGCUGAAAUGAAGCCCAGAAUCCUGAAGAGAGUGGAGUGGAAAAGCAAGAGUACCUUAGUGAAAGGUCGCCUAAGUGGAGAGUGUAGAUCUAAUGUUCUGGAUGGUUGUAGGAAACCCUCAAUUAAGAGCUCUGUUAAUGGAGAAUUUAGGAAAUGUUAUUAAAAAUUCUCUUAGCCAGCCUAAUAAAGGACAUCAGGACGUGCAAACUGAGCUCGUUGUUUAAUUUGUACAGUAAUCUGUAUUUUGGGGGGGGGGGUUUGAAAUCAACUAUCAACAUGCUUAUUGAGCAACUAUACUUGUACAAAGCAUUGUGCUAGGAAAUGUGUGUGAAGGGUGGGAGGAUGGCAUUUAAAAAUACAAGAUGAGUACAUGUUCUCCAAAAAUAUACAGGAAGCUAUGUGUUAGGAACUGUGUUGGGUGCUUUCCAUAUGUUAUCCCAUUUAAUCUUUCAAACAAAUAUUAGGAAUUAUAAUCAUCCCUAUUUUACAGAUGAACAGCCUGAGACUCAGAGAAGUUAAAUUCUUUCCUCCCUCUUUUCCCUCCCUCCUGCCUUCCUUCCUGUUUCCUUCUCUUUCUUUCAACAAAGUUGAACUAAAAGGCUAAUAGAACAUGGUGUCUUUCUCCCAAGGUUUCACUUUGUCUGAAGGUAGCAGAAUUGUAGCUAUGUAAUUGCUGCUAUAGCAGAGGAAUGAACUCAGCAAUAUGGGAGUUCAGAGUAUGAAGCCUUCUGUUCUAUGUGGAUAUCAGAGAAGACUUCCUGGAAGAGGACAUGUUUGAGUUGAGUCUUAAAAGAUAAGAAAGAGUCCGUUAGUAGACAAGGAAGAUAAGGCAACAGUAACAGCGUGGCAGAUACUGCUGGCUUCUCGCUCAACAGCCAUUACCUUUUGUCUUUCUGGAGAAAGCCAAGAUUUUGCUCAGGUGUUCCUUUUCCUACUUGAUCUGAGGGAGAGUGACCGUAUCCCUACCUUCAGGAGUAAGUACUGAGUGGUUUAAGCCGAUUAUGGUGAGUCCAUCCCUCUAGUUUGAUUAGCUUAGGGGUGGGCAUUUGAACGAGUUCUGGCCAAGGCCAUAUAAAAGGAAAUCUGCUGGGUGACUUAGGAAAUGUUUCUUGCCCUUAAGAGGGAGACACUGGAAGAGAUAGCCAUCUUUUUUUGUCUCUAGGUAUUGCUGUACUUGGAAGGGAUGUUUAGAACUACCACGGCCGUCUUGUGACCAUGAAGGGAGCCAAUCUGAGGGCAAAUAAAAUUUUCUGAGGAUGGUAAAGCAAAGAAAUAAAAACCAGUGUCUUCAAUGACAUCGUUGAGUUCAUGGACAACUGUGCCUGCUUUUCAAUUCAUGUUACCUGGUGUUAUAAUUGUCUUUGUUCCAUCAGCAGGUUUGGAUUGAAGUCUUCUGCAAUGGCAUCCUCACUGAUAACAGAGCAGAUGCAAAUCAUAGGGCUCAGAAAGGUCACAGGGCACUUAGAAAUGGACAAUAGUUCCUCACGUCUGAAAUGCAGGAUAUUGUGGAGUGGAGAGUGUGAUGACGGCUAGAGAUAAGGUGAAAUACUAGACAAGGGUCAGAUCAUGAAGGGCCUUGUAUGUUAGGAUCAGACAUUUGCACUUUAUUUUGUACGUACUGGGGAGGCAUUGAAAAGUUUCAAGCAAGGUAAUGGUAUAAUUAGGUUUGCAGUUUAGAAGCAUUCGUCUGACUACUGUGUGGUGGAUUGAAGAGUACCCUCUGAUAAGACACCGAGGUCAUUCAGUUCAAGAACAAAUGGAUUCACAUGCAGGUGGGUCUCUCUCCAUUAUCCUUCCAUUUUAGCUUGGAAAGACAGAGGUUAAGAAAAUAUAUGCAAAGUGGGAAAUUAGAGGAGCAGACAGUAAGCAUUUCAGAAUUUCAUCAGAGAAGAGCACGUUGGGGGUCAUGGAGAGUUUCAAGAAACAGAUUGGAUUUGAGCUGAAUGCCGAAGGACUUAGAAACCUUGGAGGUUGAGUAGAGCAUGAAACAACACAGAGGAAUGGCAAGUCAAGCUGGAAUGGAGAGUUUUAUGGGGGGAGGAUAAAGAUGGGAUGGUCACUUGCAAUCAAAAGGGCAGAGAAAAGAAAUGAAUCUUUACCCUGAUUCCACCACUUAGCAGUUGUGGAAUGCUGGGUUUGAUAUACUUUUAUUUCCUAAUUGUUUUAAUUGGGAUUACAAACAUACGCUUUAUUAACAUCACCAAGCGAUGUCAUACAGAUAUCGGAUGCCCCCUGAUGUCAUGUGAUGAGAAAGACACUUGCCUGUGUGGUAUCCUUUCCAAAAACCCUAACCCUGGUCUAAUCAUGAGAAGAACAUCAGACAAACCCAAUUUGAGGAACAUUCUACAAAAUAUCUGACUAGCACUCCUCAAGACUGUCAAGGUAAUGAAAAACAAAGACAGACUGAGAAACUGUCACAGACCAGAGGAAACUAAGAGGACAGGACAACUGAAUGCCAUGUAUAUUCUGGACUAGAUCCUAGAUCAGAAAAAAGACAUUAAUGAAAAAAAUAGUGAAAACUGAAUACAAUUUAGGUUUAGUUCACACUAAUUUACCACCGUUGGUUUCUUAAUUCUGACAAACUAACCACCGUAAUAUAAAUAGUAACAACAGGGGCCAAUGAAACUGAGUGAGGGAUAGGCUAUCACUGCUGUCUUUGCAACUUUUCCAUAAAUCUAAAAUUAUUCCAAAAUAAAGAUUUUAUUUAAAAACAAGAUCUCCUUCACUGAGUUGUUAUGAGGAUUGAGUGAAAGGAUCCAUAUAAGGCAGCUGGUAUAGUGCCUGACGCAUAACAGGGCCUCAAAUGUUUCUCUCUAAACUAGAGAUUCUCAAAUUUAGGGUGUGUAAAAAUCACCUAGAGGUGUUUUGUCAGAAAUGCAAACAAACCCCAGGGCAUCAGUCUCAGAGAUUCUGAUUUAGUAGGUCUAGAAUAGGGCUCAGGAAAAAGAAUUUGUUAAUAGGUGCCCUCUAGAGAUCUUGAUGUGGGGCUUGCUGCUCUAGACUAUAGGGAUCCUGGGGUGAGAGCUGUACAUUCCCCUGAGGAGGAAAAUAAUGGAGAUAUAACGCCUGCCUACUUGCCUCAAAUGGGUGGAAGGGAGAAAAGGGGAAAAUAUAGAAGCAAGCGCUUCAAAAAUUGUAAGUUACAAUUUAAAUCGUUACAGAUUAAUUUGGGAUGAAACAGAGGUCUGAUUAGCUAGCCAUUUAAUAAUAACAGUGUGGUUGAAAUCUAACUUUUAUUCAUUUCAGCCACCUAAAAAUAUUCAGCUGCUUUUCCUGCUGAAGCACUCAGAUGACCCACAGGACAAAGGCACAGUUCAACCCCUUCAAUUACGGAUGAGCUAAAUGAAGCUGAGGGACGAGAUGUGACUGGUUCAAGGUCACAGAACCAGUGACUGAGAGAACGGAUUAGAACCCACUCUUUUUUUCAGCUUCAUUGAGAGCUGGCAAGCCACAGCGGGAUGGCCGUCCCCUGAGAGAGAGGAGAGGAGGAGAACGAGCCCAGCAGGGGCCUGGAGCAGCUGGCUGGCAUCAAUAAUUUCCUGCAGGAGAUUUUGCUGGCUGAGUACACGUCACCUGUCUGUUGCCCCUCUGCGUCUGCCCUGUGGUACUAAAAUAAACUAAA